CCUACGGGGAGCAGCAGUGGGGAAUAUUGGACAAUGGGCGAAAGCCUGAUCCAGCCAUGCCGCGUGUGUGAAGAAGGCCUUCGGGUUGUAAAGCACUUUCAGUGGGGAAGAAAGCCUUGGGGCUAAUACCCUCGAGGAAGGACAUCACCCACAGAAGAAGCACCGGCUAACUCCGUGCCAGCAGCCGCGGUAAUACGGAGGGUGCGAGCGUUAAUCGGAAUUACUGGGCGUAAAGCGCGCGUAGGCGGUCUGAUAAGCCGGUUGUGAAAGCCCCGGGCUCAACCUGGGAACGGCAUCCGGAGCUGUCAGGCUAGAGUGCAGGAGAGGAAGGUAGAAUUCCCGGUGUAGCGGUGAAAUGCGUAGAGAUCGGGAGGAAUACCAGUGGCGAAGGCGGCCUUCUGGACUGACACUGACGCUGAGGUGCGAAAGCGUGGGUAGCAAACAGGAUUAGAUACCCGGGUAGUC
Molecule: ribosomal RNA, 465 nt
Filed under: Vreelandella stevensii
Lineage: Bacteria; Pseudomonadati; Pseudomonadota; Gammaproteobacteria; Oceanospirillales; Halomonadaceae
Description: partial 16S ribosomal RNA
Rfam family: Bacterial small subunit ribosomal RNA
Source: RNAcentral